GAUUAACUCAGCUGGGAGAGCACCUCCCUUACAAGGAGGGGGUCGGCGGUUCGAUCCCGUCAUCACCCACCA
RNAcentral lists this transfer RNA (72 nucleotides) under Klebsiella pneumoniae. RNAcentral's name for it is "tRNA-Val". It matches the Rfam family "tRNA". Rfam says of the family: Transfer RNA (tRNA) molecules are approximately 80 nucleotides in length. The record is from RNAcentral. Lineage: Bacteria; Pseudomonadati; Pseudomonadota; Gammaproteobacteria; Enterobacterales; Enterobacteriaceae.